GAUACCCUAUUAUUUUAGAUGUGAUUAUUUUUCUAUAAUUAUUAUUAGUUAAGUUCUUUAAAAUUAAACAAUUUGGCGGUAUUUUAGUCUAUUCAGAGGAACCUGUUUUUUAAUCGAUGGUCCACGAUAAGAUUUACUUUAGUUUUAAAUUUAUAUAUCGUCGUUAUUAAUAAUUUUAUGAGAAUUUUAAUUUUUGAGGUUUUUUAUUAUAAGUUAGUUCAGAUCAAGGUGUAGUUUAUGUUGAAGUUAAAAUGGGUUACAUUUCAUUUAUGAUUGGUUCUUUUUUUUAAAUUUUUAGAUAAAUUGGAUUUGAUAGUAAAUUCUUUAUUUAGUGGAGUUGAUUUAGCUCUAAAAUAUGCACAUAUCGCC
This 369-nucleotide ribosomal RNA is filed under the name Blaps nefrauensis vespertina. Its description in RNAcentral is "partial 12S ribosomal RNA". Lineage: Eukaryota; Metazoa; Arthropoda; Insecta; Coleoptera; Tenebrionidae. The record is from RNAcentral.